Molecule: ribosomal RNA, 481 nt
Filed under: uncultured bacterium
Lineage: Bacteria
Description: partial 16S ribosomal RNA
Rfam family: Bacterial small subunit ribosomal RNA
Source: RNAcentral
GAUGAACGCUGGCGGCGUGCCUAACACAUGCAAGUCGAACGGAGAUUACGGACGGAAGUUUUCGGAUGGAAGCCUGUAAUUCUUAGUGGCGGACGGGUGAGUAACGCGUGGGCAACCUGCCCUAUACAGGGGGAUAGUAGCUGGAAACGGCUGGUAAGACCGCAUAAGUCGGUUAUAUCGCAUGAUUUGAUCGGGAAAUGAGCCAUCAGGUAUAGGAUGGGCCCGCGUCCGAUUAGCCAGUUGGCAGGGUAAAAGCCUACCAAAGCGACGAUCGGUAGCCGGACUGAGAGGUCGGACGGCCACAUUGGGACUGAGACACGGCCCAAACUCCUACGGGAGGCAGCAGUGGGGGAUAUUGCACAAUGGAGGAAACUCUGAUGCAGCGCCGCCGCGUGAGUGAAGCAGUAUUUCGGUAUGUAAAGCUCUAUCAGCAGGGAAGAUGAUGACGGUACCUGACUAAGAAGCCCCGGCUAACUACGUG